This 497-nucleotide ribosomal RNA is filed under the name uncultured bacterium. RNAcentral describes it as "partial 16S ribosomal RNA". It matches the Rfam family "Bacterial small subunit ribosomal RNA", at positions 28 to 507 of the family's 1533-position model. The record is from RNAcentral.
GAUGAACGCUGGCGGCGUGCCUAAUACAUGCAAGUCGAGCGAACGGACGAGAAGCUUGCUUCUCUGAUGUUAGCGGCGGACGGGUGAGUAACACGUGGAUAACCUACCUAUAAGACUGGGAUAACUUCGGGAAACCGGAGCUAAUACCGGAUAAUAUUUUGAACCGCAUGGUUCAAAAGUGAAAGACGGUCUUGCUGUCACUUAUAGAUGGAUCCGCGCUGGAUUAGCUAGUUGGUAAGGUAACGGCUUACCAAGGCAACGAUGCAUAGCCGACCUGAGAGGGUGAUCGGCCACACUGGAACUGAGACACGGUCCAGACUCCUACGGGAGGCAGCAGUAGGGAAUCUUCCGCAAUGGGCGAAAGCCUGACGGAGCAACGCCGCGUGAGUGAUGAAGGUCUUCGGAUCGUAAAACUCUGUUAUUAGGAAAGAACAUAUGUGUAAGUAACUGUGCACAUCUUGACGGUACCUAAUCAGAAAGCCACGGCUAACUACGUG